RNAcentral lists this ribosomal RNA (208 nucleotides) under uncultured bacterium. RNAcentral's name for it is "partial 16S ribosomal RNA". It matches the Rfam family "Bacterial small subunit ribosomal RNA", at positions 147 to 353 of the family's 1533-position model. The record is from RNAcentral.
CAGUUGGAAACGGCUGCUAAUACCGCAUAAGCGCACGGUUCCGCAUGGAACAGUGUGAAAAACUCCGGUGGUACAGGAUGGAUUCGCGUCUGAUUAGCCAGUUGGUGGGGUAACGGCCUACCAAAGCAACGAUCAGUAGCCGGCCUGAGAGGGUGAACGGCCACAUUGGGACUGAGACACGGCCCAAACUCCUACGGGAGGCAGCAUG